AUGGUUCUUCAGAGAUCAGCGCAGGUUUGUUUUGCUUCCCCCUUCAUUCUUAAGCAAUCAGCAGCCUUGCUUUCAGCAGGUGGGCUCACAGCAGCUGGGCUCACAGAUGGGCUCAAUGCAGGUGGGCUGGCAGCAGCAGGCUGGGCGGCAGCAGGACUGUCCACAGUAGGAUGGGCGGCAGCAGGAGGCCUGGGCAUAGUACAGCUGGCAGCAGGACGGGGGUGUGCAGCUCACCACACAGCAGGGAGGCAGGCUGGUGCCCUCCACGCGGCAGUCAGGGCGGCACCACCUGGUGCGGCUGCUCACAGCUCCGCUGCUACCCACCUGGCCAUAGCCAAUGCUGCCACCUAUGCCACAGCCUGUCUCACAGCCACUGGUCUGGAGGCAGGUUGGGUGGCAGCAGCUGGUCUGGAUGGAGGUUGGCUGGCAGCAGCUGGUCUGGAUGGAGAUCGGUUGGCAGCAGCUGGUUUUGAUGGAAGUUGGCAAGUAGAUGCCAGAUUUACAGAGACUUGGGGUAGUUGGUCAGAAGUAACUGGAGUCACCACUGGCUGGCUUGCCGAAACCUGUCACACAGCAAGCUGGCUGGCAGGAAGGGGGUUUGCAGCCACUUUGAUUGCAGAAAGUGGGUUCACCACUAGUUGGUUGGCCAGAAAUCACGGUGCCACAGGAAGCUGGUUUGCAAAAGUUGUUUACAGAACAAGGGGGCUGUCUGUUAGCCGCUGGCUGGCAGAUGAAGGAUGUGCAUGGUGCUGGUUGGUAGUGAAGUGUCUGGCAAGGGAAGGUCACACAGCAUGCAGGACUGCAAGACCUGAACACACAAGCAGACAGCUGGCAGGGAACUGGUAUACAGGGAAUCGUUUGGCAAGGCUUCAAAAUGUAGCAGAUCGGUUGGUAAUAAAAUGAUUUGCAAGGCUGAUCUUCACCACGAAUGGGCUGACAUGAACCCACAUGGCAGCAAGUUGGUUGGCACAGACUAGCCGCACAGACAUUUGGUAGGCAAGAAGUUUCAGGACAGGAAGUGACUUCAGGGCAGGCUGGCUGACAGGACCCAGCAUCACAGCAGACUGACUGGUCACAAGCUGCCUGGCACGACUCAGAUGUGUAGACACAUUCCUGGCAAGAGCUUUGCUGGCAGGGGCCGGGUUCACAGCACUUUGCUGAACUGCCGGUAGAUUCCAAACAGGAGGGCUGGCAUGAGCUAACUGGACCAGGAGACUGACCGGUGCCAGUUUCACAGCAGGCCGUGUAGGAGCAAAUGGGUUGGCAUACAAAACCCACACAAGAAGUUGCUGGAAGGCAGGUUGGUUGGCAAGAAGCAGGUUCACAGCCACUUGGGGCACUGCCACAUGGCUGACAGUUUUCUUGGCAUGUAACCAGUUGCCAUGUUCUGCUCCGACAGGAACUAGGCAAACAGAUACCAUGCUGGAAACUGCCACCACUGGAGCAUAUGGAGGUGGUGGGCACAGCUGGGAUGGCAGUGGCAUUUCCAAGGCAACAGCUGUCCCCCAUGGUGCCAGUGCUAACCCUCUCAGGAGGCUGCAACCUCAGUAUACCUGAGUUUGAAAAGCAUCUAAUACAUAAGGGCUUUUAUAGUCCUUUGCUAGGGGUGUUGGCACAAUAGAGCAUCUUUCCUUGUUAUUGUUUCCACCCAUUUGCAUAUAGACAUCUGAUUAGCAGGCUUCAGGAGCCUGGGAGACAUCAUUCCCCAUUUAAGAAUUUGUCUGUUCAGAGAAAAACCUCAUAAUCCAAAAAGAAACAUGGACCCCAGCGUUCACUGCAGCACCAUUUACAAUAGCCAGGUCGUGGAAGCAGUCUAAAUGUUCACCAAUAGAGCAAUGGAUAGAGAAGAUGUACAUAUAUGCAGUGGAAUAUUGCUCAGCCAUGAAAGGAAUGAACUUGUGCCACUUGCAGAGACGCAGAUGAACUUAGAGACUGUCAUUAUACAGUGAAGUAAGUCAGAAAGAGAAAAACAAAUAUUGUAUAUUAACACAUAUAUGUUGAAUCUAGAAAAUGGUAUGUACUUAGUCGUUCAGUCGUGUCCGACACUGUGACUCCAUGGACUGUAGCCUGCCAGGCUCCUCUGUCUAUAGAGAUUCUCCAGGCAAGAAUACUGGAGUGGGUUGCCAUGCCCUCCUCCAGGGAAUCUUCCCAACCCAGGGAUCAAACCCAGGUCUCCCGCACUGCAGGCAGAUUCUUUACCACCUGAGCCACCAGGGAAGGCCAGAAAAUGGUAUAGGUGAACUUAUUUGCAAAGCUGAAAUAGAGACACAGACAUAGAGAAUAAAUAUAUGGAUACCAGAGGGGAAAGGAAUAGGUGGGAUGCAUUGAGAGAUUGGGAUGGAUAUACACGCACUGCUGCAUAUAAAAUAGAUAGCUAAUGAGAACCUAACUAUAUAGCACUGGGAACUGUGCUCAGUGCUCUGUGGUGACCAAAUGGGAAGGAAAUCCAAGGAAGAGGGGAUAUAUAUAUAUAUACCUGUGGCUGAUUUACUUUGCUGUACAGCAGAGACUAACACACCAUUGUAAAGCAACUAUACUAUAAUUGAAACAAACAAAAAAACUCAUCUGUUGAGUUGGGGAGUUUUCAUAGCCGAGUUUGGGUUCCUUGCUGCUGUGUCUGCUCUGAGCUAAGCCUGUCUCUUUUAUAGCUUGUUCUCCAGCCUC
RNAcentral lists this long non-coding RNA (2664 nucleotides) under Ovis aries (sheep). RNAcentral describes it as "lncRNA (ENSOARG00000026375.1)". Lineage: Eukaryota; Metazoa; Chordata; Mammalia; Artiodactyla; Bovidae. The record is from RNAcentral.